GAUUUCUGGCCUGAAGUAUUUAGCCGGCCACGGUUUCGUGUGUUAGUGCUUGGUACUCUGGCCAUCUUUCCAGUCGCUGCCCACUUUUCUUCAUUGAUUAGUGGGUAGUACUGGAUCUUUUACUUUGAAAAAAUUAGAGUGUUCAAAGCAGGCUUUUGCUAUGAAUAGAUUAGCAUGGAAUAAUAAUUUAGGACUUCGGUUCUAUUUUGUUGGUUUCUAGGACUGAAGUAAUGAUUGAUAGGGAUAGUUGGGGGUGCUAGUAUUCAGCGGCCAGAGGUGAAAUUCUCGGAUUCGCUGAAGACUAACUUAUGCGAAAGCAUU
RNAcentral lists this ribosomal RNA (321 nucleotides) under Sandonidae sp. RNAcentral describes it as "SSU rRNA". The stretch from base 110 to 321 matches the Rfam family "Eukaryotic small subunit ribosomal RNA", at positions 742 to 955 of the family's 1831-position model. Lineage: Eukaryota; Cercozoa; Glissomonadida; Sandonidae. The record is from RNAcentral.